This is a non-coding RNA of Myotis brandtii (Brandt's bat), 75 nucleotides long. The record is from Rfam. NCBI's taxonomy places the organism in Eukaryota, Metazoa, Chordata, Mammalia, Chiroptera, Vespertilionidae.
GGCAGUUCUCCAGUGACGCACCCUGGGAUUGGGCUCUCUCCUUUCUGGUUCUGGGUGCAUCACCUGAGAACCGCA